GAUGAACGCUAGCGGCAGGCCUAACACAUGCAAGUCGAGGGGCAGCACGUCUUCGGAUGGUGGCGACCGGCGCACGGGUGCGUAACGCGUAUGCAACCUACCUCUUACAGUGGGAUAGCCCAGAGAAAUUUGGAUUAAUACCGCAUAGUAUACAGAUUCAGCAUUGGGACUGUAUUAAACAUUUAUGGGUAAGAGAUGGGCAUGCGUUCUAUUAGUUAGUUGGAGUGGUAACGGNACCCCAAGACAGCGAUAGAUAGGGGCCCUGAGAGGGGGAUCCCCCACACUGGUACUGAGACACGGACCAGACUCCUAC
Molecule: ribosomal RNA, 313 nt
Filed under: uncultured bacterium
Lineage: Bacteria
Description: bacterial SSU rRNA
Rfam family: Bacterial small subunit ribosomal RNA
Source: RNAcentral